AUUCAAAUAGCUUAUAUAAAGAGCAUAGCAUUGAAGAUGCUGGGGAGAUCUAAGAUCUUUGGAUA
RNAcentral lists this transfer RNA (65 nucleotides) under Micromorphus albipes. Its description in RNAcentral is "tRNA-Phe". Lineage: Eukaryota; Metazoa; Arthropoda; Insecta; Diptera; Dolichopodidae. The record is from RNAcentral.